UAAAUACUCUCUCCCUCCAAAAAUUCUUGUCUUAGAUUUGUCUAAAUAUGGAUGUAUCAAGUCACGUUUUAGUAUUAGAUACAUCCGUAUCUAGACAAAUAUAAGACAAGAAUUUUGGGACGGAGGGAGUAUAAG
Triticum aestivum (bread wheat) is the source of this 135-nucleotide non-coding RNA. Lineage: Eukaryota; Viridiplantae; Streptophyta; Magnoliopsida; Poales; Poaceae. The record is from Rfam.